CUGGCGGCAGGCCUAACACAUGCAAGUCGAGCAGAUGACGGGAGCUUGCUCCUUGAUUCAGCGGCGGACGGGUGAGUAAUGCCUAGGAAUCUGCCUGGUAGUGGGGGACAACGUUUCGAAAGGAACGCUAAUACCGCAUACGUCCUACGGGAGAAAGCAGGGGACCUUCGGGCCUUGCGCUAUCAGAUGAGCCUAGGUCGGAUUAGCUUGUUCGUGAGGUAAUGGCUCACCAAGGCGACGAUCCGUAACUGGUCUGAGAGGAUGAUCAGUCACACUGGAACUGAGACACGGUCCAGACUCCUACGGGAGGCAGCUGUGGGGAAUAUUGGACAAUGGGCGAAAGCCUGAUCCAGCCAUGCCGCGUGUGUGAAGAAGGUCUUCGGAUUGUAAAGCACUUUAAGUUGGGAGGAAGGGUUGUAGAUUAAUACUCUGCAAUUUUGACGUUACCGACAGAAUAAGCACCGGCUAACUCUGUGCCAGCAGCCGCGGUAAUACAGAGGGUGCAAGCGUUAAUCGGAAUUACUGGGCGUAAAGCGCGCGUAGGUGGUUUGUUAAGUUGGAUGUGAAAGCCCCGGGCUCAACCUGGGAACUGCAUCCAAAACUGGCAAGCUAGAGUACGGAAGAGGGUGGUGGAAUUUCCUGUGUAGCGGUGAAAUGCGUAGAUAUAGGAAGGAACACCAGUGGCGAAGGCGACCACCUGGACUGAUACUGACACUGAGGUGCGAAAGCGUGGGGAGCAAACAGGAGUAGAUACCCUGGUAGUCCACGCCGUAAACGAUGUCAACUAGCCGUUGGAAUCCUUGAGAUUUUAGUGGCGCAGCUAACGCAUUAAGUUGACCGCCUGGGGAGUACGGCCGCAAGGUUAAAACUCAAAUGAAUUGACGGGGGCCCGCACAAGACGGUGGAGCAUGUGGUUUAAUUCGAAGCAACGCGAAGAACCUUACCAGGCCUUGACAUGCAGAGAACUUUCCAGAGAUGGAUUGGUGCCUUCGGGAACUCUGACACAGGUGCUGCAUGGCUGUCGUCAGCUCGUGUCGUGAGAUGUUGGGUUAAGUCCCGUAACGAGCGCAACCCUUGUCCUUAGUUACCAGCACGUUAUGGUGGGCACUCUAAGGAGACUGCCGGUGACAAACCGGAGGAAGGUGGGGAUGACGUCAAGUCAUCAUGGCCCUUACGGCCUG
Molecule: ribosomal RNA, 1181 nt
Filed under: Pseudomonas sp.
Lineage: Bacteria; Pseudomonadati; Pseudomonadota; Gammaproteobacteria; Pseudomonadales; Pseudomonadaceae
Description: bacterial SSU rRNA
Rfam family: Bacterial small subunit ribosomal RNA
Source: RNAcentral